This 113-nucleotide ribosomal RNA is filed under the name Streptomyces sp. SID8350. RNAcentral describes it as "partial 23S ribosomal RNA". It matches the Rfam family "Bacterial large subunit ribosomal RNA", at positions 2815 to 2925 of the family's 2925-position model. The record is from RNAcentral. Lineage: Bacteria; Bacillati; Actinomycetota; Actinomycetes; Kitasatosporales; Streptomycetaceae.
CCUUUGAGGGGUUAAGGCUCCCAGUAGACGACUGGGUUGAUAGGCCAGAUGUGGAAGCCCUGUGAGGGGUGGAGCUGACUGGUACUAAUAGGCCGAGGGCUUGUCCUCAGUUG